RNAcentral lists this ribosomal RNA (444 nucleotides) under uncultured bacterium. RNAcentral describes it as "bacterial SSU rRNA". It matches the Rfam family "Bacterial small subunit ribosomal RNA", at positions 29 to 523 of the family's 1533-position model. The record is from RNAcentral.
AACGAACGCUGGCGGCAGGCUUAACACAUGCAAGUCGAGCGCCCAGCAAUGGGAGCGGCGCACGGGUGAGUAACACGUGGGAACGUGCCCUUUGGUUCGGAAUAACGUAGGGAAACUUGCGCUAAUACCGGAUAAGCCCUUACGGGGAAAGAUUUAUCGCCAUUGGAGCGGCCCGCGUUGGAUUAGCUAGUUGGUGGGGUAAAAGCCUACCAAGGCAACGAUCCAUAGCUGGUCUGAGAGGACGACCAGCCACACUGGGACUGAGACACGGCCCAGACUCCUACGGGAGGCAGCAGUGGGGAAUCUUGGACAAUGGGGGAAACCCUGAUCCAGCCAUGCCGCGUGAGUGAUGAAGGCCUUAGGGUUGUAAACUCUUUCGGCGGGACGAUAAUGACGGUACCGCAGAAGAAGCUCCGGCUAACUUCGUGCCAGCAGCCGCGGUAA